UUCAGUUCAGUUCGACUUUAAACGUCGCCGUAACUUCGCGUCGUUCUCGUGGCUCCAACGCAAAAACGCGACCAACAAAAUUAAAAUUCUUAAAAAGGAAAAGCAAAAACUUGGGGAAAAAUAAUCACUAUUAAAUAGUUAAUUAAUGAGAUAAGCGCCUAUACCAAGCACUUAGUUUAACAACAAAACAUACAAACAAACGUACGUACAACAUAUUUGCCCGAAGUCCAAAAAGAGAAAAUGUCAACAAUAAGAAAAAUACAACGAGAAUAUCCACUCUGACGCAUAUAGACGCGUAUGUAGGCAUUUACAUACACCGACAAAUAUGUUAAUCAUAAGACUAUGCCACCUAGUGCCGCCAACAACAACAACCUAACCUAACUUAAGUUAACCCACCAAGAACAAAAGUGCCCAAAACAAAAAUCCCGACAACGCAAAAAAAUUCCAAUCGCCAAACGAUUUGCUGCGUCAACAAGAAAUAUCAGCAACAGCAGAAUAGUAUCAGCAGAAUAUUGAGUUUCAAAAGAACAGCGCGCUGAACAAAAGUCACAACGACACGAGAAUAAUAUGCGCGGAUAAAAGCGAAAGCAGGAAGCAAAACAAGCAGUGUGAAAAAGAGUAACCCACCGAUAAAGCAAAGCAGUCAAACAGUGCCAACAAAACAGAAAAAAAAAAUACAACAAAAA
Bactrocera tryoni is the source of this 686-nucleotide long non-coding RNA. RefSeq lists it as uncharacterized. The record is from RefSeq and is a predicted model, not a curated record. The transcript has 2 exons. Lineage: Eukaryota; Metazoa; Arthropoda; Insecta; Diptera; Tephritidae.